Long non-coding RNA from Solanum dulcamara, 3323 nucleotides. RefSeq lists it as uncharacterized. NCBI's taxonomy places the organism in Eukaryota, Viridiplantae, Streptophyta, Magnoliopsida, Solanales, Solanaceae. The record is from RefSeq and is a predicted model, not a curated record. The transcript has 2 exons.
UCCCAAUCAUACCAAUUGACACCUACAAAUAUAACAACACCACCAAUUCCAACUUCCAGCACAUCACCUCACCACUGAUUCACUCAACUGCCAACAUAUACAACCUCACCACUGAUUCACUCAACUGCCAACAUAUACAACCACGUAUACAGAGCUAAAUAUUAUACAACUUUACAACCCACCAACAACCCACCGCCUCCAAGCCCACAACAAAACCCAAUUCCCAGAAAAACCAUCCUCAACAUACCAAAUCGACCACAACAGAUACAUACACCUGCACACACCUACAUACGCGUAUAUACCCAUACGCGCGUGGUCUUCUUCCUCCUAACGACGUCCAAAUCCACGAAACACCGCCUCUAUUUCUCUCCAUACUUGAAAUUUUACAAACGUCGACCCUCAAUUAUUGAUUUUGGCUUAGAAAAAUCUCCUUCAAAUUUAAUCCAAAUCAAAGAAUGUCAAAAUGAAUUCGAAUUAUUGGGGAUAUGUUUUUUUUGAAAUUCAAAUUGAUUGUAUUUCGACUAUAAAUUAUUGAAUUGUUUACCGAGGAAGGGACGAAGAGUUUUCUUUUAGAAUCCCUUGUUAUUAGGAAAUUUCUCACAAUUCGUAAGCUUUGGUUAAUCUCCAAAGACAGACUCUUGUUUGCUUUCUUUUUUUGGUUUAGGAUAUACUCACCCUUCUCUUACUACUCUCUGUUGUCACUGGCAUUCUAAGUCGGUGUGCAAGCUUAUUUCCGUCAACUCGUCAUUCCAGUUCCUGCUACGAAGAAGGAGUAUUUCGGUCGAAGAGGUUAAGGGUGUUGUGCGUAGGAUGCGCUGGAGAAGAGUGACCGGACCUGACGAGAUUUCUGGGGAGUUUUGGAAGAGCGCGAGCCCGGUAGGUUUGGAGUGUAUGUCUAGGUUAUUCAAUGUCAUCUUUAGGACAUCAACGAUGCCCGAAGAAUGGAGGUCGAGCGUAAUGAUCCCUCUAUACAAAAACAAGGGGAUAUCCAGAGCUGCAACAACUAUAGAGGUAUCAAGCUUCUAAGCCAUACUAUGAAAGUGUGGGAAAGAGUGGUGGAGAUGAGGGUUAGGAGAAGCGUGUUUAUUUUAGAGAAUCAGUUCGGAUUUAUGCCGGGAUACUCAACUAUAGUAGCCAUCCAUCUUAUGAGGAGACUGGUGGAGCAGUACAGGGAGAGAAAGAGGGACUUGCAUAUGGUAUUCAUCGAUCUAGAAAAGGCUUACGAUAAAGUUUCACGAGAGAUACUAUGGAGAUGUUUGGAGGCUAAAGGUGUACCUGUGGCGUACAUUAGAGUGAUCAAGGAUAUGUAUGAGGGUGCCAAAAUCAGGGUAAGGACAGUAGGAGGGGACUCAAAGCACUUUUCAGUUGUAAUGGAGUUGCAUCAAGGAUCAAUCCUUAGUCCAUUUUUAUUUGCCUUGGUGAUGGAUGAAUUGACGCGACAAAUUUAAGGUGAUGUGCCAUGGUGUAUGCUUUUUACGGAUGACAUAGUCCUAAUUGAUGAGACUCGCAGCGGAGUUAAUGAUAAGCUGGAGGAUUGGAGACAUACCUUGGAGUCUAAAGGGUUUAAGCUGAGUAGGAUCAAGACAGAGUACUUAUAGUGCAAGUUCAGUGAGACACCUCAGGAGGUUGGUGCGGAAGUUAAGCUUGGUGACCAAGUCAUUUAAAAGAAAAGUAGUUUCAAGUACCUUGGGUUUAUCAUGCAAGGCAGCGGGGAGAUUGACGACGAUGUCAUACAUCAUAUUGGGGCAGGGUGGAUGAAGUGGAGGCUCGCUUCCGGCGUGCUAUGUGACAAGAAGGUGCCACCACAACUUAAGGGCAAGUUCUACAAAGUGGUGGUUAGACCGGUUAUGUUAUAUGGGGCGGAGUGUUGGCCAGUUAAGGUCUCUCACGUUCAAAAAAUGAAAGUAGCCGAGAUGAGAAUGUUGAGAUGGAUGCGUGGGCAUACCAGGAGCGACAUGAUUAGAAAUGAGGUUAUUCGAGACAAGGUAGGAGUGGCCUCGGUGGAAGACAAAAUGCGAGAAAUGCGAUUGAGAUGGUUUGGACAUAUGAAGAGGAGAGACACAGAUGUCCUAGUGAGGAGGUGCGAGAGGCUGGCCAUGUAUGGUUUCAGAAGAGGUAGGGGUAGGCCGAAGAAAUAUUGGGGAGAGUUGAUUAGAUAGGACAUGACGCAGUUACAGCUUACCGAGGACAUGACCUUAGAUAGAAGGGUGUGAAGGAUCCGCAUUAGGGUAGAAAGCUAGAACAUAGUCUCGCUAUUCUUCCCUAUUAGUAAGCAUAUUAGCACACUAUAAUUUUCUUUGUGGAGGACUCAGAUUAGGAUAAAAGGCUAGGUGACUUAUCCUUACACCAUAGUAGUUGUAGUAGUUGUAGUUCUACUCAUUGUUUAUUGCCAUUUGAUUUUUGGAUUGUAUUGUUGUUUAUAGGGGUGGGGCCGUUGUACUUUGAUUAUCUUAUUUAUUUAUAGUAGUUAAUGCCUCUUUUCUUACGUACUAUUCUACCAUGACUUUCUCACUUUUGUUAUUCCUUGUUUUCAUCUUGUUUUCGAUAUGCUUGUCCCUAUCUGACCUUUUAUCUUGUUUUCAUCUCUUAGUCGAGGGUCUUUUGGAAACAGUCGCCCUACCUUUCAAGGUGGGGGUUAGGUCUGCGUACACUUCACCCUCUCCAGACCCCACAUGGUGGGAUUAUACUCGAUUUGUUGUUGUUAUUGUAUAGUUAUUGUUCCAUUGUCCAGAAUUCCCUUUAUUUCAUAUUUUAAUUCAAAUAAAAAAAAUAUUGGUUAAUUGUGGUUGAAUCCUAUUUGAUUUAAGCAGCUUCCCUAAUCCAUUUUUCUUUUAUUUUUGUUGUUCGUGGGGCUGCCUUUUCGAGUCCAUUGUGGGCUUUAUUUUUCUAUUUGCAUUUUCGUAUUGAGUCAUGGAGGCUUGAAACCCAGCAAAUCCUCUUUAUCGAGUCAAUCUCAUCAAGGAACUUGGUACACAUUGAAAAGGAAGCCGGUAAAAAGGUUUAUGAAAGCAAAUAUACGGUGAUAUACAUGCUGGAUACAUGGAAAAGAAGACAAUAUACACAUUGUAUACAUCAGUAUACAUGUUGAUAUACAUGGAAAUGGACCACUGGCCCAAAAAUGAGGCAGACACAAUUAUGUUAGUAGUUAGUACAGGUUUAAGAUUGGGCCUAGUAAGCUCAACAGUUUGAAUUUGGGUAAUCUGCCUAAAUUUAUUAUUUGUUUUAUUUAACUGAUUAUUCUUGUGAUUAUAUAUCUGUUAACUUUAACCCUAAUUUUAGAUUAAUCAAAUUAAAUUUCCUACAAGAGGAACAACUUUCUUUUA